UACGGGGGGAGCAAGCGUUGUUCGGAUUUACUGGGCGUAAAGGGCGCGUAGGCGGUCAGCACAAGUCAGUUGUGAAAUCUCCGGGCUUAACUCGGAAAGGUCAACUGAUACUGUGCGACUAGAGUGCGGAAGGGGCAACUGGAAUUCUCGGUGUAGCGGUGAAAUGCGUAGAUAUCGAGAGGAACACCUGCGGCGAAGGCGGGUUGCUGGGCCGACACUGACGCUGAUGCGCGAAAGCCAGGGGAGCGAACGUG
This 254-nucleotide ribosomal RNA is filed under the name uncultured bacterium. RNAcentral's name for it is "partial 16S ribosomal RNA". It matches the Rfam family "Bacterial small subunit ribosomal RNA", at positions 524 to 776 of the family's 1533-position model. The record is from RNAcentral.